This 1085-nucleotide long non-coding RNA is filed under the name Medicago truncatula (barrel medic). RNAcentral describes it as "long non-coding RNA (MTRU_LNC006254)". Lineage: Eukaryota; Viridiplantae; Streptophyta; Magnoliopsida; Fabales; Fabaceae. The record is from RNAcentral.
GUUUCCUUUUUUGUUUCCUGAGUUAAAGUUCUGUUCAAAUUCUCCAAGCUGGGAAAAGGCAGAAGCUUUGGCAUUGAAGAAUAGUCUAGAAUCUGUCACUCUUUCGUAACUGACUGCGGAGGAUCAGGCAUCAUUAUGGUGGUGGCGAGAUCGUAGAAAUGGGGAAGCGCCCCUAUGCCAAUAAGCCCAUAUGAGAUGGUAUUAUGUCACUCUUUCGUAACUGACUGUGGAGGAUCAGGUAUCAUUAUGGUGGUGGCGAGAUCGUAGAAAUGGGGAAGCGCCCCUAGGCCAAUAAGCCCAUAUGAGAUGGUAUUAACCCCUUAGCAGAGUAUUAAUGAUACAGUUCCAUUGUAUCCUCCUAAUAAAGACUUUAAAAGGGGGUGAGGUUUAGCACGGGAAUGGUAAGUUCUUUUCCAUGAUGGGAAAGUUUAACAAGAGCCAUAGAUUUAAUAGUAAUUUAUUCGGAUGGCUGAGAUCUAUUCCUUGGUAAAGGUUGUAACCUUUUGAUUGGUAUUGGGAAACAAAAAACUCUACCCCUCCAAAUGAUUUAAUAACAAUUUUCAUAAAAUCAAGUUUACUAUUUUUCCUGAAUCUACAACAACAUUUACGAAUAAAAUUUGAACAAGAUACACACUAAUAAGCAUCUCUAGAAAUUACAUGAACAAAAUUUACCCAGAAAAUAUGUGAUAAACAUAUGUCCAGAAUGACAUACGACUUCUAUGUCAUUAUCUUUUUCUUUUUUUAAUAAAACCAACAUUAAUUGAAAUUAAUGAGAAACAAGAUUUGCCAUAUCUUUUUGGAUAUGGAUUUGCAUGAGGGAAGUGCCGUGUCCAAGUCUUUCAGAAUCCCUAAAGCUUCCGCAAGUUACUUGAAUACUAAUGUAAGCAUACAAAAACUUAAACAUUGCCCGGACAAAAAAGGGUUGAUUAACUCCAUCUUUCAAAAGCUUAAACAUUUACCUAGAAAAAAUACAUUGACGUUGAUUCUGCCCAGAAAAUACAUAGUUUCAACGGUAUAAUAUCACAUAGAACAUAAUGUAACCGAAAAGUUUUUUUCGUUGGGUUUUUCGAUUUUAGCAGUAAAAU